UACAGAGGUGCCGAGCGUUAGGCGGAAUCACUGGGCUUAAAGCGCGCGUAGGCGGAUGUUUAAGUGUCUUGUGAAAUCCCACGGCUCAACCGUGGAACUGCUGGGCAUACUGGACAUCUUGAGGCACUCAGGGGCGAGCGGAACAAGUGGUGGAGCGGUGAAAUGCGUAGAUAUCACUUGGAACGCCAAUGGUGAAGACAGCUCGCUGGGGGUGUCCUGACGCUGAGGCGCGAAAGCUAGGGGAGCAAACAGG
This 253-nucleotide ribosomal RNA is filed under the name uncultured bacterium. Its description in RNAcentral is "partial 16S ribosomal RNA". It matches the Rfam family "Bacterial small subunit ribosomal RNA", at positions 524 to 776 of the family's 1533-position model. The record is from RNAcentral.